Molecule: ribosomal RNA, 464 nt
Filed under: uncultured bacterium
Lineage: Bacteria
Description: partial 16S ribosomal RNA
Rfam family: Bacterial small subunit ribosomal RNA
Source: RNAcentral
GACGAACGCUGGCGGCGUGCUUAACACAUGCAAGUCGAACGGAAAGGCCCUGCUUGCAGGGUACUCGAGUGGCGAACGGGUGAGUAACACGUGGGUGAUCUGCCCUGCACUUCGGGAUAAGCCUGGGAAACUGGGUCUAAUACCGGAUAUGACCUUCCAUGUAGUGUGGGGGGUGGAAAGAUUUAUCGGUGUGGGAUGAGCCCGCGGCCUAUCAGCUUGUUGGUGGGGUAAUGGCCUACCAAGGCGUCGACGGGUAGCCGGCCUGAGAGGGUGGACGGCCACAUUGGGACUGAGAUACGGCCCAGACUCCUACGGGAGGCAGCAGUGGGGAAUAUUGCACAAUGGGCGGAAGCCUUAUGCAGCGACGCCGCGUGGGGGAGGACGGCCUUCGGGUUGUAAACCUCUUUCGACAGGGACGAAGCUUCGGUGACGGUACCUGUAUAAGAAGCACCGGCUAACUACGU